Molecule: ribosomal RNA, 443 nt
Filed under: uncultured bacterium
Lineage: Bacteria
Description: partial 16S ribosomal RNA
Rfam family: Bacterial small subunit ribosomal RNA
Source: RNAcentral
CCUACGGGGGGCAGCAGUGGGGAAUAUUGGACAAUGGAGGAAACUCUGAUCCAGCGACGCCGCGUGAGUGAAGAAGUAUUUCGGUAUGUAAAGCUCUUUCCUCAGGGAAGAAAGAAAUGACGGUACCUUACCAAUAAGCCUCGGCUAACUACGUGCCAGCAGCCGCGGUAAUACGUAGGGGGCAAGCGUUAUCCGGAUUUACUGGGUGUAAAGGGAGCGUAGGUGGUUGGGCAAGUCUGUUGCGAAAGGCCGGGGCCCAACCUCGGCACUGCAAUGGAAACUGUUGAACUUGAGUACAGGAGAGGUAAGUGGAAUUCCUAGUGUAGCGGUGGAAUGCGUAGAUAUUAGGAGGAACACCAGUGGCGAAGGCGACUUACUGGACUGUAACUGACGUUGAGGCACGAAAGCGUGGGGAGCAAACAGGAUUAGAUACCCGUGUAGUC